GACGAACGCUGGCGGCGUGCUUAACACAUGCAAGUCGAACGGAAAGGCCCUGCUUGCAGGCUACUCGAGUGGCGAACGGGUGAGUAACACGUGGGGGAUCUGCCUUGCACUUCGGGAUAGGCCUGGGAAACGGGUUCUGAUUCCGGAUCGGAGCCUUAUCUCCUGUGAUUGUUGGAAAGUUUUUUUCGGUGUAGGGUGAGCUCGCGGCCUAUCAGCUUGAUGGUGCGGUAAUGGUCUACCAAGGCGAAGACGGGUAGCCGGCCUGAGAGGGUGACCGGCCUCAGUGGGACUGGGACACAGCCAAGACCCAUACGCGUGGGAGAAGUAGCGGAUAGUGCAAAAUGAGAGUGAGCCUGAUGCAGCGACGCCGCGGGGGGGAGGGCGGCGUUCGGGUUGUAAAUGCCUUUCGCUAGUAACGAAGACGUUUGUGACGGUACCUAGAUAAGAAGCUCCGGCUAACUACGUG
RNAcentral lists this ribosomal RNA (466 nucleotides) under uncultured bacterium. Its description in RNAcentral is "partial 16S ribosomal RNA". It matches the Rfam family "Bacterial small subunit ribosomal RNA", at positions 28 to 507 of the family's 1533-position model. The record is from RNAcentral.